GACGAACGCUGGCGGCGUGCUUAACACAUGCAAGUCGAACGGAAAGGCCCUGCUUUUGUGGGGUGCUCGAGUGGCGAACGGGUGAGUAACACGUGAGUAACCUGCCCUUGACUUUGGGAUAACUUCAGGAAACUGGGGCUAAUACCGGAUAGGAGCUCCUGCUGCAUGGUGGGGGUUGGAAAGUUUCGGCGGCUGGGGAUGGACUCGCGGCUUAUCAGCUUGUUGGUGGGGUAGUGGCUUACCAAGGCUUUGACGGGUAGCCGGCCUGAGAGGGUGACCGGCCACAUUGGGACUGAGAUACGGCCCAGACUCCUACGGGAGGCAGCAGUGGGGAAUAUUGCACAAUGGGCGGAAGCCUGAUGCAGCAACGCCGCGUGCGGGAUGACGGCCUUCGGGUUGUAAACCGCUUUCGCCUGUGACGAAGCGUGAGUGACGGUAAUGGGUAAAGAAGCACCGGCUAACUACGUGCCAGCAGCCGCGGUGAUACGUAGGGUGCGAGCGUUGUCCGGAUUUAUUGGGCGUAAAGGGCUCGUAGGUGGUUGAUCGCGUCGGAAGUGUAAUCUUGGGGCUUAACCCUGAGCGUGCUUUCGAUACGGGUUGACUUGAGGAAGGUAGGGGGGAAUGGAAUUCCUGGUGGAGCGGUGGAAUGCGCAGAUAUCAGGAGGAACACCAGUGGCGAAGGCGGUUCUCUGGGCCUUUCCUGACGCUGAGGAGCGAAAGCGUGGGGAGCGAACAGGCUUAGAUACCCUGGUAGUCCACGCUGUAAACGGUGGGUACUAGGUGUGGGGUCCAUUCCACGGGUUCCGUGCCGUAGCUAACGCUUUAAGUACCCCGCCUGGGGAGUACGGCCGCAAGGCUAAAACUCAAAGGAAUUGACGGGGCCCCGCACAAGCGGCGGAGCAUGCGGAUUAAUUCGAUGCAACGCGUAGAACCUUACCUGGGUUUGACAUGGAUCGGGAGCGCUCAGAGAUGGGUGUGCCUCUUUUGGGGUCGGUUCACAGGUGGUGCAUGGCUGUCGUCAGCUCGUGUCGUGAGAUGUUGGGUUAAGUCCCGCAACGAGCGCAACCCUUGUUCACUGUUGCCAGCACGUUAUGGUGGGGACUCAGUGGAGACCGCCGGGGUCAACUCGGAGGAAGGUGGGGAUGACGUCAAGUCAUCAUGCCCCUUAUGUCCAGGGCUUCACGCAUGCUACAAUGGCUGGUACAGAGAGUGGCGAGCCUGUGAGGGUGAGCGAAUCUCGGAAAGCCGGUCUCAGUUCGGAUUGGGGUCUGCAACUCGACCUCAUGAAGUCGGAGUCGCUAGUAAUCGCAGAUCAGCAACGCUGCGGUGAAUACGUUCCCGGG
Molecule: ribosomal RNA, 1343 nt
Filed under: uncultured bacterium
Lineage: Bacteria
Description: 16S ribosomal RNA
Rfam family: Bacterial small subunit ribosomal RNA
Source: RNAcentral